Molecule: long non-coding RNA, 530 nt
Organism: Mytilus californianus (California mussel)
Lineage: Eukaryota; Metazoa; Mollusca; Bivalvia; Mytilida; Mytilidae
Exons: 3
Source: RefSeq, a predicted model, not a curated record
GGCUUUUCCGCAUCUGAUCGGAAAUAAACGGAGAGAAUGUUCGGCAAUGACAUCCACAAGGAUGUUGCGAGAUACACACAGAGUUUGAGACAUUAUAGCUGGUGGUUGAAAAGAAACUUCAUAUCUAUAGCUGUCCCUGGUACUGUUUUCUAUUUUAUUUACAACGAUUUGCAGAGAACUCGUAAAUUUAAAGCUAAAAAGAAAUUAGAGGCAUUGCAGACAGGAAAUUUGGAAGUACCACUUGAACAAUAAAAUGGGGAAAAUGGAAAAAUUUACCAUGUUGAAUCCUAAAUUCUAUAGAUAUUAUGCUGGUUUAGCAACAAUUAUGGUACUAUGGAAGUUUGGAGGCUGGUUUACAGAGAAAGUUGACAAUAACAUGAAUCUUUUCAAAAACAAAAGCAAAUUAUUUGGAGGACGUACUGUUUAUCCAGAAGAAAGGUGGUGAUGCUUAUUUGUCAAAGGAAAUGUAAUCUUUUGUGUGUUUAAAGAAAAUGUAAAAUAAAAAGAGCCUUUUGUUAUAUGAAAAGAAA